Molecule: unclassified non-coding RNA, 3627 nt
Filed under: Hevea brasiliensis (rubber tree)
Lineage: Eukaryota; Viridiplantae; Streptophyta; Magnoliopsida; Malpighiales; Euphorbiaceae
Source: RNAcentral
GGAAAAAAUAGUAAAAAAAAGACACUACAUCUUUGCUUCAAAAACAGUGGUGGCCUUUUAGCCUCUGCCAUUUCUCAUUCAGUAUCUGCAGAAGCUUUUGUGGUUUUGCUCUUCAUUCUUCCAUAUUCAUUCACAGACCAAAUGUCGCUCACCCAACAUAUUCCCACCUCUAUCUCCUCUUCUUCCUCUUCUUUUUUAGCUUCUUCAGUCUUCCCCUAUAGAAACAGGGAUGUUUCGCUUCCCUCGAAAAAUUUUGGGACUUGUAGGUGUGUAGCAAUCCCUCAGGAAGAGAAGACCAGUGAGUUUUGCCCCUUCUUGUUGGGAUUUUGGUAGAAACAAAUGCAGUUAUAUUUGAUUUUAUUUGGGUUUUCUUGGAAUUGAGCUCACUUCGAUUGUUUGUGAUAAAAUUUGUAUGUGCUGUUGAUGUUUUUGUUAAGCCUACAAGACGAAUGUUUCUCGUAAUGCAAACAUGGCCAAGCUUCAAGCUGGGUACCUGUUUCCAGAGGUCUGUAUUUGGCACUAUCUCUAUGGUUUUCUGCUGCUACAAUGUUCUUCUUAUUAUGGAAAAAGUUUUUAUAUUUAACUUAAAUGCCUUUCAUUUUUGGAUUACAUGUUUGUCUUUUACCAUUUGGGUGUGAAACCAAAUCAGUUUAUCAGAUGUGUUUCAAUUCUCUGUGGACUCCCAUUCUUCUCCUUUUCAGUUAUCCCGAUGUCAUCUUUUAUAUUUGCUGAAGUUGAAUGUUUACGUUAUAAUCAUAAUUGUAUUUUGGAUAUCUUUGAACAGUAUUCUUUUUUGGGUUAAAUAUUAGUAAAAAAAAAAAUUGCCCUGCAUUGAUCUCAUUCCAAGCAACAGUUGAGGAAAAUAAGCACACAAAGGAAAUUUUACAUAUGAUCUUUGUUGAGGUACAUUUUUUUUUUCCGUUGUGAUUGGUUACUUGAUGAUAGAUCGUGAAAAUUCCUGGUUGACUAGAAGGCAUGUUAGCUAGGGAAAAAACCUGCAAAAUGGAGAGGAAGCAUAAAGGUGACAGGGCAUACCCUUUUUGGUGCUUAAAGUUAGCAGCCAGCAAAGAAUAAUAGGGAUUUAGAGAGGAGAGGAAGAUUACUCUAUGUUAGUCUGUUUGCCUGUUUACAGGGACAAGGGUAGAGCCUACUUUUUCACAUUCCAUCCUUUUCCUUGUGUCUCUUUAGCUUUCUGUAGUUAAAAAUUAUUGAUCAGUGUUACUAGUCACCUCUCACUCCUUAGUUCGAGUUGAGCAUACUCACAAGGAAGCAAGAUUCAGGCCAUCGGUGUAAUGAGUAUUCAAGGUUACUGUCUGAUGUUUAAUCGUGUAAGAUCCCAUCUUGGUUAAUUGAUUGAACGCAUCAAGGCUGAAGAAUUUAUUACUUUUUAGACUGUUUAUUGCUCAUAUGUCUAAAUGGCUGUUCACAAAUUGAUAGUUUUAAAACUGUUGUUAUUUUCUUCUGUUGUUAAAUUUUAUGGGAGUAUAUUGGUUUUGGUCAUUCAUUUUUCUCCUUUGCCUCUUCUAUUUUGCCCCAUCUUUGCAAAAAGAUUGCUCGUAGGAGGAAUGCCCACUUGCAGAAAUACCCUGAUUCAAAAGUGAUAAGCCUCGGAAUUGGCGACACCACUGAGCCCAUUCCAGAAGUAAUAACUUCUGCAAUGUCAAAGGUAUGGCUUCCUUCCGUUUAUCCUAUUAGUUUUAUUUGCUAUUGCCCAAAUUCAUUGCUUAUGAACUAUUUUGUUAUUUGAAAUCUAGUCUCUUUACUUUUCCUGGCGUUGAUGUUUACAUAUGGUGAACGGUAAUAAUUUACAACUGGCAGUAUGAUUGUAAUUUAAAAAGUUUCAUUUUUCACCUCAAGUUAAUUCUUGUGUACGGGCCUGUGGGUGGGCAUACUGCUCAACUGAAAAAAUGAAGGUUUAUUGUAUUUAUCUCAGAUUAAGAAAUUUGUCCUCCUUUUGACAGAGAUCACAAGCAUUGUCCACUCUUCAGGGUUACAGCGGUUAUGGAGCUGAACAAGGUGAAAAAGUAUGUGGAAAUCUUAUUAACUGGCUGAUAGAAUGCAUAAUUUUAGGUGUUUGAUUAUUGUGAGUUUUAUUUUGUCUGGCCAUUGUCAAGAACUCUUUUACAGACAAGAGGCUAGAAAUUGGCCGAAACGACAUAGGAUGAGCUAUGCAAAUGGUAGUGUAGCAUAUGAAAUACGUGGAGAAUAAUAUAAUUUGUUGUAAAAAUUUUCAUCCUUUCCUAUUUUAAUAGUUAAUUUUUAGGUGUUGCAUUUAUUUUUUGUCAGAAUGCAUUUAUCUGGAACUGGAAAUGACACGUUAAAUAAGGAAAGUAAACAAUAAAACUUGUCUGGUGUUUGUUUCUGUUUUCAUUCCCUUCAGCUCCCAAAAAAUCUUUGGACUAUUAGCUUUGUGGUAGAUGAAGAGUAACAUAAAUGGUUGAACUGUGCAGCCAUUGAGAGCUGCAAUUGUUUCAACAUUUUAUGGAGGCCUUGGCAUUGACGAAGAUGAUAUAUUCGUCUCAGAUGGUGCAAAAUGUGACAUAUCCCGCCUUCAGGUUCUUUUUGGGUCUGAAGCCACUAUUGCAGUGCAGGAUCCAUCAUACCCGGCAUAUGUAGACUCUAGUGUCAUAAUGGGCCAGACAGGACUGUAUCAGAAGGAUGCAGAGAAAUAUGGAAAUAUUGAAUACAUGAGGUGUAAUCCUGAAAAUGGCUUCUUUCCUGAUUUAUCUAAGGUCUGCCGAGCUGAUAUCAUAUUUUUCUGUUCGCCAAACAAUCCUACUGGUUCUGCUGCAACAAGAGAGCAACUGACACAACUAGUACAGUUUGCCAAGGACAAUGGGUCAAUUAUUGUCUAUGAUUCAGCAUAUGCAAUGUAUAUAUCUGAUGAUAAGCCACGCUCCAUAUUUGAAAUUCCUGGAGCCAAAGAGGUUGCACUUGAGACAGCAUCAUUUAGCAAGUACGCUGGGUUUACUGGAGUCCGUCUAGGUUGGACUGUGGUUCCAAAAGAGCUUCUUUUUUUGGAUGGCUUUCCUGUUGCCAAGGACUUCAACCGUAUUGUUUGUACUUGCUUUAAUGGUGCAUCCAAUGUUGUCCAAGCUGGUGGUCUGGCUUGCCUUUCACCAGAAGGCCGUAACGCAAUGCAAAAGGUGGUUGGAUUUUACAAAGAAAACGCUGAUAUUAUAAUGGAUACAUUUAAUUCACUUGGUUUUAAUGUGUAUGGGGGGAGGAAUGCACCAUAUGUAUGGGUUCACUUCCCUGGCCGGAGUUCAUGGGAUGUAUUUAGUGAGAUUCUUGAGAAGACUCACGUUGUUACCACACCUGGAAGUGGAUUUGGACCUGGUGGUGAAGGUUUUAUCAGGGUUAGUGCUUUUGGUCACAGGGACAAUGUAUUAGAAGCCUGCAGAAGGUUCAAGCAGCUCUACAAGUGAACCUGCUUUACUCUUUCAUUAGUUGUAUUGAUCAUUUCAAAUAAUGAAAUGCAAAAUAUUUAGCAAUUGUAGAAGGCUAACCUCAUUGUUUUGGAGGUCUAGAUUUUUCUGUGGCAUUGUUGCUUGUCUCAAAAUUGUAACAUUUCAGCAAAUUUGUGGUUUCCAAAAUGUUUUUUUGAAUAAUAAUGCAGUUCUAUAA